AGAGGAAGUACAAGGCAGGAGAGGUAGGGCAGCCCGGUUCCUGUGGGUCGGCCAGGAACAAGCCCAGCCACCAUAAGGUAAAGUAAAAACAGGUGAAAUUAAUGUUAAUAAUAAAUUUUAUUUAACCCAGUAUAUUCAAAAUAUUACUUCAACAUGUAAUCAAUAUAAAAAUAUUAUUGAGAUACUUUAUUUCUUUUUUUCAAAAUGCAGUGAGUAUUUUAAAUAUACUGACAAUGUAAGUCAGUUCUGAAUAGCUUGGGAAUAGUGGCUACUUAAUUGGACAGCACGGCUCUGGAAGGUCAAGUCAGCCUUCACCUUGACAGUCUCAUCUGGUAAGUGGGCAUAUCUCAAAGUUGUCAGGUGUCCGAAGGCUCCAAAUGUGACUUGCAGAGCUACAAGGACAGGUGCAGAAGCAAGGGAUUUCAUAAGCCAGAGAGUGCUCACUGGACCCCACAAUUCCCUCUCAACAAAACCAGGCUUAUGCUGCAUUCUAGUGAAACUUUCUCUGGUUGGGGAGACCCUGUGGCACUGGUUUCAUGGCUGCCCUGCAGAAAUGCUCUGUUCUGAGCCUGGGAAAUGGAGCUGUUUGAAAUGGAUCCAGGUUUUCAGCUGCCUGGUCCCUGCACCCCAUCUGCCAAGCACCAGGAGCGAGGCAGAUGCUAGAAACACAUCUGUCAACCUGCCCUGAUGGUUUCUGGCACUUCCCCCAGCCUUUCUGAGACUGUGUCCCCACCCUGGAAGAAGCCAGCACUCUCUGGGUUUUCAGUUACUGGUACCCACUGGAGAGCAAACUGGGGCAUCCCUGGAUGUGGCUUCCCCAGAAAGUGGUCCCCCAUUCUCAGGGACUGAUAGCUCUGUCUGCUUUGCUGCCUCCCACCCCUCUAACACAGCCCCUCUCUGAGACAGGAAGUAGAGUGUAAACCCAGCAGUCCCCACAGACACAGUGAGCAGCUCUGGGAAGGUCUGCAUGGGCUGCAGUGAAGCAAAUCCCAGCAUGGAGCAGGCCAGUGCCUGCGUGGCAAGCGACCAAACCUGCUUCUACUCCCGCUCUGCCUCUCUCCCCGAUAAUAUGAGUUGUUUUGAGGAUGAGACGAGAAUAUGUAAACAAAGUUCCUGACAAUCAGUACUCAACAACUUCUGGGUAGAACAAGACCGAGAGCUAACAGGGAAAAGAGAGGAUGCCUUAACCAUGGUGAUGGCAGAGCUAGACUCCAGGUCAGUGUCUGUUGUCCCUCAUCUGGGCCAUUACAGGUCACCACCACCGGGGGUUCCUGAAUGAUUUCAACAUUAUGUAGUUUAAGAGGGAAAAGUCAGUCCAUCUGGUUGUGUAUGUAUGGGCAUGUUUUAUAUGCCUGAAAGUCAUGAGUUAGAAAAGUUUAGAGUGUCUGACUCUCCUCUGUCAUGCCAGCUCCCAGGUCAUAGCCUGGAUCAAUGUAGGUGCUCAGUAGACACGGUUAAUCAGACAAGAGAAGAAAGGAGUGAGAAAAGCGGGGAGGGAAGGGAGAAGUCAAGAAAAUGUGAUGAGGGGUAUAAGGGGUAAGCAACAAAGAGACAGACCAGAAGGAAGAGGUGGAA
This 1575-nucleotide long non-coding RNA is filed under the name Pan troglodytes (chimpanzee). RNAcentral's name for it is "long non-coding RNA NONPTRT008937". The record is from RNAcentral. Lineage: Eukaryota; Metazoa; Chordata; Mammalia; Primates; Hominidae.